Long non-coding RNA from Pecten maximus, 1026 nucleotides. RefSeq lists it as uncharacterized. Lineage: Eukaryota; Metazoa; Mollusca; Bivalvia; Pectinida; Pectinidae. The transcript has 3 exons. The record is from RefSeq and is a predicted model, not a curated record.
GUUAUGAAUCAGUCGUGUGUGUCAUCAUAUCAGUGGGGUACUAUCAUGAAGUAAUAUAGGUUUACUACAGAAAUCAAUAGGGCCCUGCUGCAGGUCGGACAUACUUCACGUACCAGAAAUGGUCCAAUGGGAAGUUCUCGUAUUAAACCCUCUUAUUUUUUUGGUGGGGAACCUCUUCAUAUAUCAGCCCUUCGAUGGUCCUCUAGACUGGUUCUUGGCCUUGGUGUUGCUUGUGUGCAUUGGUGUACUGGUGUAUCGGGCAUAUACUUAAAACAGCAGAUCAGCACGUCGUGGAAAAUGAUGUAAUCAUGAAAAGGGAGUUUGCGGUUCCCAGCUUGUGUAGAUGGAUUACUUCCAAUCCGAUCAUUCCACUUACGGGCCCGGAGUUCAAACAUAUCGUUAAGGCUUCGUUAGCUUAACGAUAGUUUUGAACAAUCGAGCCCAGAAUAACAGCACUAUGCUUAAAACCAGUUAACAUCAUUGCACAUUGUGAUCAAAACAACCUUCAUUAAUUACUUUUUAACUUAUGUAUGAUACCAUUAUAUAUUUAUGUUGUGCUCGCAAUCAUUUCAUCAUUGUCACGAAACUUACGAUUUCCAUUGAAUUUCCUGUUCUGUUGUAAGUAUGACCACAAGUAUGACAUGAUGAGGGUUAAUUGGAUAGCGCUGUUAUCCAAUGAAUCAGUCCGAUCAUUUAUCAUCGGAUGUGUCCGAUUUUACUUAUCUUAAAUGUCUUCAUUUCAUAUAACAUAUGAUGAAUCUCGUCUCGAAGUUUACAUUUUCCUCGCAAAGGCUCGCAAAGAUAAACGAAUGAAAAUAAUAAAAAGACUCGUUUCAUAAAAUAUCUUUUGAAAUGGAAAUUCAAAAGAUGCUAUAUUUGUAAUGGUUAAAUUGAGACUUGACAGGGAAAAUGUCGUUAAUGAGAUUACGUCUGUAAAUAUUCAGCAUUAUGUAUAUUUAAUAUUGAUUGUUUACUAUGUUAAGUUAUUAUGGUCAAACUUUUGUUAUAUUUUCCUAAAAUGUUCAA